UUUUUUUAUAAAAUAAGUACUUUAAUUUUUUUUUUAAAUUGAUAAUGUUGUUGGAUAUAUGCCCUAAAGCCAAUCAUAAAUGAUAUUUUACGGACAUUUUACAUGUUUUUUUUUUUUUGUCAAACGGUAGAUUUUGCUAGAUUAGGUGUUAGAUUAGCCACCGACGGGGUUGAACUCACGCCGUCAUGCAAAAGCUCAACAUCUUUCCACCACUGUGGUAAAGGGUUACUUUAAGACAUUUUACAUGUUAAAAUAAACUAGUUUAAUAUAAGGGCAAAAAUUAUUGUAUAAAGCCCUUUCAUUAAUGUUAUAUGCUUAAACAAUAAGUCCAUGGAAUAUGUAAUUAGGAGAAUGUGUUCUUAAGAAGUUAGAUUCAUGAGACCAUUCUCUUUCAUACACAUAUUCUAAACAUUCAUGGUCAUAUGAUUGCCAAUUCGACAUUGACGAUCCUUAGAUCAGUACAUGUUAUGUCUUCUCUCCAGGAAAGUGACUCGUCUUAAGUCAUUGAUAUGAAUGACAACAAGACAAGUAUGUAAGUGCUCACUAGAGAGUGAGUCCACUAAACAUGAUGAAGAUGAGUUCUCACACUCAUUUCACAUGAGAAUUCAUAGUUGAGAUAAUGCAAAGUAGACCUUUGACCUGAGACAUCAUAGUUGUCUUGUGGUUUGGUCCCUAGCCUUUGACUAUGUUAAAGGCAUACCAUUUGAGGAUUUCCACGACAUAGUUGGGGUUAAGCUACUUAAUCAUAGGGGCAUGUGAAUGUGCAACAAAAGAUCUCUAACCUUGAAAUCAUUGAGGGAGAAUACUCUAUAACAUGAAAGAAUCUCUAGCCAGAGUAUGAAUGAGAUUUAAGAAGUCGUUCCAAAUCAUAUUCAAGGUAAUCAUAUAAUUAAGAGAAUCUUGUUGAAUAAUAGACAUGAAUAAACUAUCAAACCAAACAAUGUGAUUAAUAGUAAUUAGAAAAAGACAGUAUUGCAUAUGUAAUCCCAAAUCCCAAACUGAAUAGGUUCUCCAACCACUUCUGAUUAGCUUGGGUAACCAUGACAUGCUGCUAGGUGUCACUCAUGGCCUAUGGAAGCCUUGAAGAUGUAUAUUGAAAUUGGUACCAGGUAGUAUAUCCUGCAAUUUAAAAUUUGAUAUAUGCUUGACUGACUAGUCAGCAUCACUAGUGAACGAAGAUUAGAUUUGUUAGUUUACCAAAAUUGAAAAUAAACAACUGUACCUGGUUUACUAACAUAAUUCUAGUUAACAAGGGUUUAGUUCAAUGUAUUUUUAAACUUUAUUAAACUUAGUUGACAACACAUGUCAACUUGCAAAUCCUAGAGUCAAUGUGUAACAUAUACAAACUAACAAGAUAUGUGAGCAAGAACAACAAUAAUCAACACAAGGAAUUUUUGGCCCGAAAAACUCACCUUUGGGUUAAAACUCACCAUUGAGUCCAAUCGACUAGUGUAGACAAAAGUUCAUAAAAAAUCCACAGAAAGCUCAAUUCCUAAAACCUUAUCUAUGGAGAAGCUUUACCUUUGUGCAACCUUGCCUUACACAAGAUGAACUCCUAUGGUCUUCACGAAGUGGCAACUCCUCCUGAGCUCAUCACCUUGUGGCAUCGAGAAUUAGUUACUAACAACCAUAAACAAAAUAUUAUUAAAAACAAUGAUAGAAAACACCUUGAAAAUAAACUUCAAAAAUCCUCUAAAGUAGUGUGUGUGUUUCCUCCACUCUUCUCCUCCUUAACCCUAAUGGCUAAAUAUCUUAUUUAUACUACCACAAAAUAAAACCCUAAAAGGUCUUAGAAUAAAACUAGGAAACAUAAUAAAAUAAUAAAACAGAAAAUAAAAGGUUUCUUAUUUGAACUAAAAUUUGGACUUUUCAGAAAAUCACACUUUUGACCAACCAAAUUAACUCUGAUUUGGUCCCAAAAGGUCUCUGUUGAAAGCUAGAGACGUUCCCUACAAAUCCUCAAAAGGAAUCUUCCUCAAAAUAUGCCAUCUUGACCUCCAAAAUACCCAAAACGUCUAGAAACGUCAAUCUGGGAAAGCUACACGUUGGGCCUUAAUUUCAUCACCACAGUCAAACAGCUUCAUAGAAAACUUCUGACACAAUCAUCUUGAAGGGCACACGAACAUCCUCCAAUUGGAAUCACUCCAAAAUUCAUUCGUUUGGUCACUUUUUGCUUCAGAGGAAGUCGAAUGUCCUACAUUAAGAAUAUAAAUCAAAGUGUCAAAAUUCUACCAAAAUAACAAAUAAAUUAAUACUAAGAAUAGGGUAAAAUAUAUAGUAAAAUAUCGACUCAUCAUUGGUCAUGCUUCAAUCGGAGAUAGAGAACUUGUUGGGCUUAAUGGGAUUAUGCCAAACUUCCUCUUGACCAUGCCGUUUCUGGGACAACAAUUAUGUAGCUUCCUUUAGGAUUUUUUGCAAAACAGAAAAAGCACCGAGACUAUGCUUGAAAGACUAGGGAAUGGGUUUAGAGGCCUUGGGUUGUCCUGAUUGCUUUUUUAUUUAUUUUUAUAUAUUUUUUAACGAUAAUUGUUUUUAUUUUUCCUUUUUUUUUAAAUAUUUUUUUUACUUUGCUUUUUCUUUUGAUAAUUAUUUAUCUACAGGUGAAGUCACCAGCUCCGAGCGGGGCUAUAUCAGAUGGAGUAGCAGUGCCACCAUCGCUCUACUCUAAGGCACUAGGCAGAGUCCUAGCGACUUCGCUGGAUGACCAUGCUUGUUCUGCAAGACACGCUAUUUGAUCGGGAUAUAGACACAAUCAGAUUGAAGGAAAUUUUGUGAAAAACAUGUUCAUUUGAAUAACAUCUAUAGCAUGCAAUUAACAAUUAAAAGGCGGAAUCAUGUUUGUAUGCACUCAAAAACAAAACAUUACCCAUGAAAUUCAAAGCCUAGUAGAUUGGUGAACCUUGACUCAACUUAAAACAACAUUUGUUAGUUGAGAAAUUAUACCUUUGUAGAUUCCUCUUUGCAUAAGCAAAGGCUAAUCACCCAAAGAGAGGACCUUCAUUCCUUGCAUCUUAGAUCUAUGAAUUUGGAUGGAUGAAAUGGUUCUCCAAGUUCCCAAAAUUGAGAACCUCUAAGUCUCUUCA
Molecule: long non-coding RNA, 3083 nt
Filed under: Malus domestica (apple)
Lineage: Eukaryota; Viridiplantae; Streptophyta; Magnoliopsida; Rosales; Rosaceae
Description: long non-coding RNA (MDOM_LNC010254)
Source: RNAcentral